RNAcentral lists this ribosomal RNA (519 nucleotides) under uncultured bacterium. Its description in RNAcentral is "bacterial SSU rRNA". It matches the Rfam family "Bacterial small subunit ribosomal RNA", at positions 777 to 1297 of the family's 1533-position model. The record is from RNAcentral.
AAUAGAUACCCCGGUAGUCCUUGCCGUAAACUAUGUAUACUUGGUGUAACUGGACUCAACCCUAGUUGUGCCGAAGCUAACGCGAUAAGUAUACCGCCUGAGGAGUACGCUCGCAAGGGUGAAACUCAAAAGAAUUGACGGGGACCCGCACAAGCAGUGGAGCAUGUGGUUUAAUUCGAUGCAACGCGAAGAACCUUACCCAGACUUGACAUGCAGUAGACAGUACCAGAGAUGGUAUCUUCCUUCGGGACUGCUGCACAGGUGCUGCAUGGCUGUCGUCAGCUCGUGCCGUGAGGUGUUGGGUUAAGUCCCGCAACGAGCGCAACCCUUAUCAUUAGUUGCCAACAUUUAAGGUGGGAACUCUAAUGAGACUGCCUGGGUUAACCAGGAGGAAGGUGAGGAUGACGUCAAGUCCGCAUGGCCCUUAUGUCUGGGGCUACACACGUGCUACAAUGGUCGGUACAGAAGGCAGCGAAGCCGUGAGGUGAAGCAAAUCCCAAAAGCCGAUCCCAGUUCAGU